Molecule: small nuclear RNA, 106 nt
Organism: Apodemus sylvaticus (European woodmouse)
Lineage: Eukaryota; Metazoa; Chordata; Mammalia; Rodentia; Muridae
Source: RefSeq, a predicted model, not a curated record
GUGCUCGCUUUGGCAGCACAUAUACUAAAAUUAGAACGAUACAGGGAAAGUUAGCAUGACCCCUGAGCAAGAUGACACACAAAUUCGUGAUGCGUUCCAUAUUUUU